Molecule: ribosomal RNA, 504 nt
Filed under: uncultured bacterium
Lineage: Bacteria
Description: partial 16S ribosomal RNA
Rfam family: Bacterial small subunit ribosomal RNA
Source: RNAcentral
AUUGAACGCUGGCGGAAUGCUUUACACAUGCAAGUCGAACGGCAGCACGGAGAGCUUGCUCUCUGGUGGCGAGUGGCGAACGGGUGAGUAAUAUAUCGGAACGUGUCCAAUAAUGGGGGAUAACGAGUCGAAAGAUUCGCUAAUACCGCAUACGCCCUACGGGGGAAAGCAGGGGAUCGUAAGACCUUGCGUUAAUGGAGCGGCCGACAUCUGGUUAGCUAGCUGGUGAAGUAAAGGCUCACCAAGGCGACGAUCAGUAGCUGGUUUGAGAGAACGACCAGGCACACUGGAACUGAGACACGGUCCAGACUCCUACGGGAGGCAGCAGUGGGGAAUUUUGGACAAUGGGGGCAACCCUGAUCCAGCCAUUCCGCGUGAGUGAAGAAGGCCUUCGGGUUGUAAAGCUCUUUCGCAAGGGAAGAAAACUUAUGAUCGAAUAAAUCAUGAGGUUGACGGUACCUUGAUAAGAAGCACCGGCUAACUACGUGCCAGCCGCCGCCGUAA